This 250-nucleotide ribosomal RNA is filed under the name uncultured prokaryote. RNAcentral describes it as "partial 16S ribosomal RNA". It matches the Rfam family "Bacterial small subunit ribosomal RNA", at positions 525 to 775 of the family's 1533-position model. The record is from RNAcentral.
ACGGAAGGUGCGAGCGUUAAUCGGAAUUACUGGGCGUAAAGCGCACGCAGGUGGCUCCUUAAGUCGGAUGUGAAAGCCCUGGGCUUAACCUGGGAAUUGCAUCCGAUACUGGGUGGCUAGAGUACGGUAGAGGGAGGUGGAAUUCCAGGUGUAGCGGUGAAAUGCGUAGAGAUCUGGAGGAACACCGGUGGCGAAGGCGGCCUCCUGGACUGAUACUGACACUGAGGUGCGAAAGCGUGGGAGCAAACAG